RNAcentral lists this transfer RNA (139 nucleotides) under Gomphillus americanus. Its description in RNAcentral is "tRNA-Phe". It matches the Rfam family "tRNA". Rfam says of the family: Transfer RNA (tRNA) molecules are approximately 80 nucleotides in length. Their secondary structure includes four short double-helical elements and three loops (D, anti-codon, and T loops). Lineage: Eukaryota; Fungi; Ascomycota; Lecanoromycetes; Ostropales; Graphidaceae. The record is from RNAcentral.
GGGGCGAUAGCGCAGUUGGGAGUAAGUCAAUCCAAAAGUUUCUUGAUCGACUCAACUGACAAUAUUAGGCGCGUCAGACUGAAGGUAACUUCGGUUCUAUUCUAUCUGAAGGUCACCGGUUCGAUCCCGGUUCAUCCCA